Molecule: ribosomal RNA, 490 nt
Filed under: uncultured bacterium
Lineage: Bacteria
Description: partial 16S ribosomal RNA
Rfam family: Bacterial small subunit ribosomal RNA
Source: RNAcentral
AUUGAACGCUGGCGGCAGGCCUAACACAUGCAAGUCGAAUGGUAACAGGAAACAGCUUGCUGUUUCGCUGACGAGUGGCGGACGGGUGAGUAAUGUCUGGGAAACUGCCUGAUGGAGGGGGAUAACUACUGGAAACGGUAGCUAAUACCGCAUAACGUCGCAAGACCAAAGAGGGGGACCUUCGGGCCUCUUGCCAUCAGAUGUGCCCAGAUGGGAAUAGCUAGUAGGUGGGGUAACGGCUCACCUAGGCGACGAUCCCUAGCUGGUCUGAGAGGAUGACCAGCCACACUGGAACUGAGACACGGUCCAGACUCCUACGGGAGGCAGCAGUGGGGAAUAUUGCACAAUGGGCGCAAGCCUGAUGCAGCCAUGCCGCGUGUAUGAAGAAGGCCUUCGGGUUGUAAAGUACUUUCAGCGGGGAGGAAGGGAGUAAAGUUAAUACCUUUGCUCAUUGACGUUACCCGCAGAAGAAGCACCGGCUAACUCCGUG